Molecule: signal recognition particle RNA, 297 nt
Filed under: Macaca nemestrina (pig-tailed macaque)
Lineage: Eukaryota; Metazoa; Chordata; Mammalia; Primates; Cercopithecidae
Description: Metazoan signal recognition particle RNA (ENSMNEG00000001100.1)
Rfam family: Metazoan signal recognition particle RNA
About the family: The signal recognition particle (SRP) is a universally conserved ribonucleoprotein. It is involved in the co-translational targeting of proteins to membranes.
Source: RNAcentral
GCCAGAUGCGGUGGUGCAUGCCUAUAGUCCCAGCUAUCCAGGAGGCUGAGGUGGGAGCACUGCUUAGCCCAGGAGUUCUUGGCUGUAAUAUGCAUGCCAGUCAGGUGUCUGCACUAUGUUUGGCAUCAGUAUAGUGACCUCCUGCGAGCGUGGGACCACCAGGUUGCCUAAGGAGGGGUGAACUAUCCCAGGCUGGAAAUGAAGCAGGUAAAAACUCCUGUGCUAGUUAGCAGUGGGAUUGUGCCUGUGAAUAGUCACUGCACUCCAACCUGGGCAACACAGUGAGACCCCGUCUCU